This 945-nucleotide ribosomal RNA is filed under the name uncultured bacterium. RNAcentral describes it as "bacterial SSU rRNA". It matches the Rfam family "Bacterial small subunit ribosomal RNA", at positions 542 to 1498 of the family's 1533-position model. The record is from RNAcentral.
UAUCUGGAUUUAUUGGGUUUAAAGGGAGCGUAGGCGGGCUGUUAAGCGUGUCGUGAAAAGCAUCGGCUCACCCGGUGUCGUGCGGCGCGGACUGGCGGUCUUGAGUGGGUAGAAAGCCGGCGGAAUUCGUGGUGUAGCGGUGAAAUGCUUAGAUAUCACGAAGAACUCCGAUUGCGAAGGCAGCUGGCUGUAUCCUUACUGACGCUAAAGCUCGAAAGCGCGGGUAUCGAACAGGAUUAGAUACCCUGGUAGUCCGCGCGGUAAACGAUGGAUGCUCGUUGUGCGGCCAUUAUGGUUGCGCGACCAAGCGAAAGCGUUAAGCAUCCCACCUGGGGAGUACGCCGGCAACGGUGAAACUCAAAGGAAUUGACGGGGGCCCGCACAAGCGGAGGAACAUGUGGUUUAAUUCGAUGAUACGCGAGGAACCUUACCCGGGCUUGAACUGCAGAGGAAAGAUCCAGAGAUGGUGAUGCCCUUCGGGGCCUCUGCGGAGGUGCUGCAUGGUUGUCGUCAGCUCGUGCCGUGAGGUGUCGGCUUAAGUGCCAUAACGAGCGCAACCCUUCUCCGAAGUUGCCAUCAGGUUAUGCUGGGGACUCUUCGGACACUGCCACCGCAAGGUGUGAGGAAGGUGGGGAUGACGUCAAAUCAGCACGGCCCUUACGUCCGGGGCUACACACGUGUUACAAUGGCGCGUACAGAGCGCAGGCCGGCGGCGACGCCGGUCCAAUCCUCAAAACGCGUCUCAGUUCGGAUUGGGGUCUGCAACCCGACCCCAUGAAGCUGGAUUCGCUAGUAAUCGCGCAUCAGCCAUGGCGCGGUGAAUACGUUCCCGGGCCUUGUACACACCGCCCGUCAAGCCAUGAAAGCCGGGGGGGCCUGAAGUCCGUGACCGCGAGGGUCGGCCUAGGGCAAAACUGGGGAUUGGGGCUAAGUCGUAACAAGGUA